Molecule: microRNA precursor, 101 nt
Filed under: Canis lupus familiaris (dog)
Lineage: Eukaryota; Metazoa; Chordata; Mammalia; Carnivora; Canidae
Description: mir-8834 microRNA precursor family
Rfam family: mir-8834 microRNA precursor family
Source: Rfam by way of RNAcentral
AGGAGGAACAACCCCAGUGGCGGGGCCAGCUCUGGAGCCCUGGAGUCAGCUCCCGCAGUAACUCCGGAGCUGUCUGCAGGGCCUGGAGUCUCCAGGGCGGG